This 600-nucleotide ribosomal RNA is filed under the name Leptoxyphium fumago. Its description in RNAcentral is "eukaryotic LSU rRNA". It matches the Rfam family "Eukaryotic large subunit ribosomal RNA", at positions 45 to 664 of the family's 3401-position model. Lineage: Eukaryota; Fungi; Ascomycota; Dothideomycetes; Capnodiales; Capnodiaceae. The record is from RNAcentral.
AAUAAGCGGAGGAAAAGAAACCAACAGGGAUUGCCUCAGUAACGGCGAGUGAAGCGGCAAAAGCUCAGAUUUGAAAUCUGGCGUCUUCGGCGUCCGAGUUGUAAUCUGUAGAGGAUGCCUUUGGGUGGCCACCGGUCUAAGUCCCCUGGAACGGGGUGUCACAGAGGGUGAGAAUCCCGUAUGUGACCGGGAAGGCGCCCUAUACAUGGCUCCUUCGACGAGUCGAGUUGUUUGGGAAUGCAGCUCUAAAUGGGAGGUAAAUUCCUUCUAAAGCUAAAUACCGGCCAGAGACCGAUAGCGCACAAGUAGAGUGAUCGAAAGAUGAAAAGCACUUUGGAAAGAGAGUUAAAAAGCACGUGAAAUUGUUGAAAGGGAAGCGCUUGCAACCAGACUUGUUGGCGGUGUUCCGCCGGUCUUCUGACCGGUCUACUCACCGUCUGCAGGCCAGCAUCAUCUGGGGCCGCUGGAUAAAAGCGGAGGGAAUGUGGCUCCUCCGGGAGUGUUAUAGCCCUCUGUGUAAUACAGCGAGUCCCGGGUGAGGUCCGCGCUUCGGCUAGGAUGCUGGCGUAAUGGUCGUAAGCGGCCCGUCUUGAAACACGG